Molecule: ribosomal RNA, 125 nt
Filed under: Marasmius sp.
Lineage: Eukaryota; Fungi; Basidiomycota; Agaricomycetes; Agaricales; Marasmiaceae
Description: partial small subunit ribosomal RNA
Rfam family: Eukaryotic small subunit ribosomal RNA
Source: RNAcentral
CCUUUGUACACACCGCCCGUCGCUACUACCGAUUGAAUGGCUUAGUGAGGUCUUCGAAUUAGCUUCGGGGAGCCGGCAACGGCACCUUGUCGUUGAGAAGUUGAUCAAACUUGGUCAUUUAGAGG